GCCUGUAGUCCCAGCUACUCAGGAGGCUGAGGUAGGAGGAUCGCUUGAGUCCAGGAGUUCUGGGCUGUUGUGCGCUAUGCCAAUCGGGCGUCCGCACUAAGUUCGGCAUCAAUAUGGUGACCUCCCAGGAGCGGGGAACCACCACGUUGCCUAAGGAGGGGUAAACUGCCCCAGGUCAAAAAUAGAGCAGGUCAAAACUUUCAUGCUGAUCAGUAGUGGGAUCGCAUCUGUGAAUAGCCACUGCACUCCAGCCUCGGCAACAUUGUGAGACCCCGUCUCU
Molecule: signal recognition particle RNA, 280 nt
Filed under: Cebus imitator (Panamanian white-faced capuchin)
Lineage: Eukaryota; Metazoa; Chordata; Mammalia; Primates; Cebidae
Description: Metazoan signal recognition particle RNA (ENSCCAG00000002714.1)
Rfam family: Metazoan signal recognition particle RNA
About the family: The signal recognition particle (SRP) is a universally conserved ribonucleoprotein. It is involved in the co-translational targeting of proteins to membranes.
Source: RNAcentral